GCUGGGUAGUGUGGUGGUAUGUAUCAAUAGUCCCAGCUACUCAGGAGGCUGAGGUGGGAGGAUUGUUUGAGCCCAGGAGUUCUGGGCUGUAGCAUGCUAUGUCAAGCCUAUUGUGUGUCCACACUAAGUUAAUCAUCAAUAUGGUGAUCUCCCAGGAGCGAGGAACCACCAAGUUGCCUAAGGAGGGGUGAACUCACCGAGGCUGGAAACGGAAUAGGUCAAAACUCUCAUGCUAAUCAGUAAUGGGAAUGCACCUGUGAAUACCACUGUACUCCAGCCUGGGCAACACAGUGAGACCCCACUUCU
Molecule: signal recognition particle RNA, 306 nt
Filed under: Microcebus murinus (gray mouse lemur)
Lineage: Eukaryota; Metazoa; Chordata; Mammalia; Primates; Cheirogaleidae
Description: Metazoan signal recognition particle RNA (ENSMICG00000032591.2)
Rfam family: Metazoan signal recognition particle RNA
About the family: The signal recognition particle (SRP) is a universally conserved ribonucleoprotein. It is involved in the co-translational targeting of proteins to membranes. The eukaryotic SRP consists of a 300-nucleotide 7S RNA and six proteins: SRPs 72, 68, 54, 19, 14, and 9.
Source: RNAcentral